This 420-nucleotide ribosomal RNA is filed under the name uncultured bacterium. RNAcentral describes it as "bacterial SSU rRNA". It matches the Rfam family "Bacterial small subunit ribosomal RNA", at positions 356 to 773 of the family's 1533-position model. The record is from RNAcentral.
GAGGAAUAUUGGACAAUGGACGAAAGUCUGAUCCAGCCAUGCCGCGUGUAGGAAGAAUGCCCUCUGGGUUGUAAACUACUUUUAUAUGGGAAUAAACCCCUCGACGUGUUGAGGGCUGAAGGUACCAUAAGAAUAAGCACCGGCUAACUCCGUGCCAGCAGCCGCGGUAAUACGGAGGGUGCAAGCGUUAUCCGGAUUUAUUGGGUUUAAAGGGUCCGUAGGUGGAAUUGUAAGUCAGUGGUGAAAUCUUUCGGCUUAACCGGAAAACUGCCAUUGAAACUACAGUUCUUGAGUAUGCUCGAUGUAGGCGGAAUAUGUCAUGUAGCGGUGAAAUGCAUAGAUAUGACAUGGAACACCGAUAGCGAAAGCAGCUUACAAGCGCAUAACUGACACUGAGGGACGAAAGCGUGGGGAGCGAAC